AUCGUUUACAGCAGAUGCAGCCGAUUUAUUAAAAAUACAUUCAAAAAAGGGAGUUUUGUCAAUACAAGAGGAUUACAUAAAGUACAAAAAUGCAUUAAAAGAAUACCCCAAAAAGGAUGUUCCAAAAAUGUGGCCAUUUAAUGAACAAGAGCUUGAUAGUAUACAAAAACAACUCUGUAGAGGAGUAAUCAGAAAGUCAAGCAAAGAAUUAUCAAGUUUAAGUUGUUAUAUGGUUGAGACUAAUAUACCAUACUUCAAAUCAAAGGCAGAGGAGGUGAAUAAGGAUCCAAAAAUUUUGAUAUUUCAUGAAGUUAUUUCUGAAAAUGAAAUAGCGUAUUUUAAAGAAGAAAGUUAU
Molecule: long non-coding RNA, 355 nt
Organism: Mytilus trossulus (common blue mussel)
Lineage: Eukaryota; Metazoa; Mollusca; Bivalvia; Mytilida; Mytilidae
Exons: 3
Source: RefSeq, a predicted model, not a curated record